RNAcentral lists this unclassified non-coding RNA (417 nucleotides) under uncultured Sebacina. RNAcentral's name for it is "sequence contains ITS2". The stretch from base 1 to 154 matches the Rfam family "5.8S ribosomal RNA". Lineage: Eukaryota; Fungi; Basidiomycota; Agaricomycetes; Sebacinales; Sebacinaceae. The record is from RNAcentral.
AACUUUCAGCAACGGAUCUCUUGGCUCGCGCAUCGAUGAAGAACGCAGCGAAAUGCGAUAAGUAAUGUGAAUUGCAGAAUUCAGUGAAUCAUCGAAUCUUUGAACGCACCUUGCACCCUUUGGCAUUCCGUAGGGCAUGCUCGUUUGAGUGUCAUUGUACUCUCACACUCCCGAUGCUUUUGGAUUGGGAGUGGUGGACUUGUGUGUUGCUGCUUUACUGUGGCUCACCUCAAGUGGAGUAGUGCAACUCUUGGUUGGACAUAGUACGGCGUGAUAAGUGUCUUCGCCGGCGCCUCAUUAGAGGGUGGCCGAUCGGGAGCUCUGUGCUUCAAGCCGUCUUCGGACAACAUCUGACAACUUGACCUCAAAUCGAGUAGGACUACCUGCUGAACUUAAGCAUAUCAAUAAGCGGAGGCU